This 1496-nucleotide ribosomal RNA is filed under the name Leuconostoc citreum. Its description in RNAcentral is "bacterial SSU rRNA". It matches the Rfam family "Bacterial small subunit ribosomal RNA". Lineage: Bacteria; Bacillati; Bacillota; Bacilli; Lactobacillales; Lactobacillaceae. The record is from RNAcentral.
CCUCAUUUUUUGUUAUCAAGCGCAGCUAUCUGCAGUCGACGCGCAGCGAGAGGUGCUUGCACCUUUCAAGCGAGUGGCGAACGGGUGAGUAACACGUGGAUAACCUGCCUCAAGGCUGGGGAUAACAUUUGGAAACAGAUGCUAAUACCGAAUAAAACUUAGUAUCGCAUGAUAUCAAGUUAAAAGGCGCUACGGCGUCACCUAGAGAUGGAUCCGCGGUGCAUUAGUUAGUUGGUGGGGUAAAGGCUUACCAAGACGAUGAUGCAUAGCCGAGUUGAGAGACUGAUCGGCCACAUUGGGACUGAGACACGGCCCAAACUCCUACGGGAGGCUGCAGUAGGGAAUCUUCCACAAUGGGCGCAAGCCUGAUGGAGCAACGCCGCGUGUGUGAUGAAGGCUUUCGGGUCGUAAAGCACUGUUGUAUGGGAAGAAAUGCUAAAAUAGGGAAUGAUUUUAGUUUGACGGUACCAUACCAGAAAGGGACGGCUAAAUACGUGCCAGCAGCCGCGGUAAUACGUAUGUCCCGAGCGUUAUCCGGAUUUAUUGGGCGUAAGCGAGCGCAGACGGUUGAUUAAGUCUGAUGUGAAAGCCCGGAGGCUCACUCCGAAAUGCAUGAAACUGGUAACCUGAGUGUUGUAGAGUAAGUGGAACUCCAUGUGUAGCGUGGAAUGCGUAGAUAUAUGGAAGAACACCAGUGGCGAAGGGCGGCUUACUGGACAACAACUGACGUUGAGGCUCGAAAGUGUGGGUAGCAAACAGGAUUAGAUACCUGGUAGUCCACACCGUAAACGAUGAAUACUAGGUGUUAGGAGGUUCCGCCUCUUAGUGCCGAAGCUAACGCAUUAAGUAUUCCGCCUGGGGAGUACGACCGCAAGGUUGAAACUCAAAGGAAUUGACGGGACCCGCACAAGCGGUGGAGCAUGUGGUUUAAUUCGAAGCAACGCGAAGAACCUUACCAGGUCUUGACAUCCUUUGAAGCUUUUAGAGAUAGAAGUGUUCUCUUCGGAGACAAAGUGACAGGUGGUGCAUGGUCGUCGUCAGCUCGUGUCGUGAGAUGUUGGGUUAAGUCCCGCAACGAGCGCAACCCUUAUUGUUAGUUGCCAGCAUUCAGUUGGGCACUCUAGCGAGACUGCCGGUGACAAACCGGAGGAAGGCGGGGACGACGUCAGAUCAUCAUGCCCCUUAUGACCUGGGCUACACACGUGCUACAAUGGCGUAUACAACGAGUUGCCAACCUGCGAAGGUGAGCUAAUCUCUUAAAGUACGUCUCAGUUCGGACUGCAGUCUGCAACUCGACUGCACGAAGUCGGAAUCGCUAGUAAUCGCGGAUCAGCACGCCGCGGUGAAUACGUUCCCGGGUCUUGUACACACCGCCCGUCACACCAUGGGAGUUUGUAAUGCCCAAAGCCGGUGGCCUAACCUUCGGGAGGGAGCCGUCUAAGGCAGGACAGAUGACUGGGGUGAAGUCGAUCAGUGCGCAACCCGAUAGUUUCUCC